Cynoglossus semilaevis (tongue sole) is the source of this 3051-nucleotide long non-coding RNA. RefSeq lists it as uncharacterized. NCBI's taxonomy places the organism in Eukaryota, Metazoa, Chordata, Actinopteri, Pleuronectiformes, Cynoglossidae. The record is from RefSeq and is a predicted model, not a curated record. The transcript is spliced from 9 exons.
ACGAUUCACACAAACACAGACAACAGCGACACCUUCAACGUCAUCAACUCCAUCAUCUGGAGAAAGCCCUUUAAACCGCAGGCGUAGGGAGGAGGUUUCUCAAAGCCACCGAAGGAGGGUCCGUAGAAGACUGGAGCGUUGGGAGUCAGCGUGAAGCCACCUGUUUCCUGGGUGCCUUCCUGUGGCUGUGGCUGGGGGGCAUGCUGGUUCUCCUCGGACGGACAGGUGGUGGAAGAAAAGCCCGUGGUGGAGGAAAGGCCCGUGUCGGUCAUCAUCUGGGGCGUAGGAAGUUGCUGGAAGUUGGUGUUAUGCUGGCGCCCAGGAUGGCAGCAGUUAUGAUGCCCAGGAUUAAGGCCAUGAUGUUGAGCACCACAGAGGUCCACAUGAGACGGUAGAGGUGGAUCACGUCCCAGCAGCUGCUGACACCAGUGAACGCAAAGUAAGCUGCGUCUUCGUAUGUGCUGCAGGAGGGCAAGAGAACAUGAGGAACUUACGAUGUAUUCCGAAGCAAUGAUUCCGUCAACAAUAGCACAGAGAAAGGAGACGAUCACACCGAUGCUGAUGAAGAUGAUCGCUGCGAUGAGCUUCAAGGAGAGGAGGAAGAAAGCUGACUGAAAAACCAAUCGAUGAGUUCUACAGGAACAGUCUUCAUCAAACCAGGAGAGCGGCUCCGCUCCUGAAAAUCCAGAGCCAAUCAUAUUUGCCUCUCUGACCCACACAGACCUUGAGGAGGGGUCACUUACAGAGAUACCAGGGUAAUAUCCAGAGACUGGCACAUUGUCAGUGCGGGUGGCAGAGACCAGACCUACUGUGAGCACCACCAGAGCCAGGACCAACAGAGCCACGGUCAUCCACAGAGCCGUCCUCCUUCGACGCUGGUACUGAUCUGAAGACAAACCAGAGGUUUGGUCGGAUCAAGAGCUCUUCACACUUAAGGUACUACAGUACUACCACGUUAUUUAUACUUCAAUCCCAUGCCUUAAAAAAGCUCAAGUAUUGAUGACAUUAACAUUUGGUUGGUUUUUUGGUUGUUUUUUUUUACAGUCACUGGAAGUUGACCCUGGGGUCAAUUAUGGUGAACAAUUAACCUAAUCCUCCAUGUGUUGAUUCUGUGGGACAGACAUAUAAACACAAUGAUAUUUCUUCUUGGGGAAUCGGGGGAGAAAUAUUGUGUUUAUAUUAAAUAAUUAUUUAAAUUUAAUUUGAAUUCUUAUUUCUAUUAAAACAUCCCAUUCACAAUUUUUAAUUUGAUACUUUUUUAAAAAUGUAUGGUAAAAGAAACACAAUAGUACUUAAAAAAACCAUUGAUCUGGUAGAUGAACUUUUUUUAAAAAACAAUGACAAAUGACCUCAUACAUUAUUAUUUUAUUAUAAAUUAUUAUUUGUUUUGGACCAGAAUGCUUUGCAGCAUCCAACAUCAAACCUAUAAAGACUACAGACUGGACUCAUGGGACUGUCCUAACAUGUUGCUGCUCUAGUCAUCAGGCAGAUGGGUGAUGGUUUUAUCAGCGCUCAGCUUGAAACAGUACCUGCUGGAUCCAGUAUCUGUGUCCCUGCUGGUGGACUGGUCGGCUGACUCUCAGGCUGCUGCAUUUCCAUUCACUCCACUUUAAUCCAACUUGAAAAAAACGGCUUGUUAUUGUUGUUUAAAAAUUUAAAAAAAAAAAAAGUGAAAAAAAGCUCCUGCUCCUGCAGCAGAACGACUUGGAUCGGGAUCACUGGUCCUCGGUCAGUACUUUUCAGAAGAUAGUUUUCAUCCUCCUCGAAGAACCACUGGCUGCAGUACUGACAUAAUGUGGCUGAAUAAUGGAAUAGUUGGUAUUUAAAUUUAGUUUGAUGGUUUUAGUUGGCCCAGAGCAAAGUGAGAGCUCACACAGACACAACUUUUCUGUCUUGGUCCUGAGAGAGAGUGAGAGAGGGACAGAGAGAAAGACAGAGGGUGAGGAGGUGAGAGAGAAAGAGAGGGGAGGGAGAGUGAGAGCUAGAGAAAAACAGAGAUGGACUUUAUGUUUACAGCGCCCCCAUGUGGCUAAGACUAGGAGAAAUUUCUUUAAAGAAAAUGACAAUAUUUAAUUAAUAUAUUAACUUUUAUUAACUAAAUUAGUUACUUAUUUAUUCAUUGUGUAGAUAAUAGUUUAGAUUAACAGAGGAGGGAAAUGUUUUGAAAUUUUUCGAAGUCCACACGUGUGUGUGUGUUGUUUGGUUGUCGUCUGCAACAACAGCUCAGUUCUUAGAACCUGAGGGCAGCGACCAUACACCUGUGGUUAACAUUAGCCCUGGUGGAGCUAAAUCAAAAUUGAAUUGAGUCAGUUUACUGUAGCGUUGUAUCAGCAAGAAUCAUCCGUUUGUCUCCAUCUAGUGUCCGGACAGAGUCACAGACAGAUGCAGUCACCUGGUAGGAUUUUCUACUAAAGAAAAUAAAACCCACAGACGAACAGUUCUACCAGCUGAACAGCCCAGUUAGUUUAACUGGUGUCUGAGAGGGACUUGACCCAGGAGUGGACUAAUCAAUGGACAUGGACACUGACCUGCAAUUAUUCUGAAGACUGGGUUUAAAUUUCGAUUGCUUCAGCUCUUUUACAGACCUCUACUACCACAACAGUAAGACAUUCUGAAUAAGUUAUUAAAUAAAAAUGUGGAAAAACAACAACUCAUGAUCUUCAGGAACUCCAAGGUCAGGACUUCAUUCUGUUGUUCAGUGACCUCAGGUCUAAAGACGACCUCUGUGUCCAGGAUCUACAGCAGUGAAGGCAUUUCUCCAGAACCUCAAGCUACAGAACAGCUAACAAUUCUAACCUCCCUGAAACACAGAAUCUGGUUAAAUACAGAAGAACUAGGAGAGGACCAGAGGAGACGUCCUGCAGACAUCGGACUGGACCGGAGUUACUGUGAGCUGCUCCGGAUGUUGCUGACAGCUGUAUAACAGCUAACACCUGGGCGUUGGACCGUCACCGUGGAAACAGUCUGUGUCUCGUCGCUCUCCACAGAAACGGAGCCAGCAGCAAACUGAGGGUGGUGACACUGAGAACCAGCAGGUAGACCUGAGGAGAG